GUGUUCCGGGACUCCUCUGUGUUAGGAGGAAGCCAAAAAUUGUGUGCACAUCAUGUGCAGGCUUUAAUUGGGUUAUCUCUUCUAAGACUCUUUAUGAAUGUGCAACCGUGGCAGAGGUUAUUCUUCAAAAUGUUUGUUCUCUACCUUUGGUUCUCAAGUUUACAUGAUUCUUGAGAAUCUGUAUAUUAGUUCUGUGUAGUGUUUGUUACUUUAAUCUUCUGGACGAAGGCAAUUAAAAGAGUGUAAAUGGUAAAUAUUUUGUUUGGUCUUGUGUAGGACUUCAUUGGGUACCUCUUUUGAAGUACAACUGUAAGAAGUCUGUUAGUGAAAUAUAUGCAGCAGUGACAAAAGCAAAUGACCAAAGCUUAUGAGGUAACUCCGCAUAGUGUAGAAAGGUGCGGGUUUUAAUAAUACAGCAAUGCGUUCUUUCAUCUGUGACAUUUAGUUUAACGUUCGAUGUGUUGUGAAGUUAGAGGUGUCAUAUUGAGA
Molecule: long non-coding RNA, 489 nt
Filed under: Trifolium pratense (red clover)
Lineage: Eukaryota; Viridiplantae; Streptophyta; Magnoliopsida; Fabales; Fabaceae
Description: long non-coding RNA (TPRA_LNC011040)
Source: RNAcentral